GACUUUCAAGAUUACGGAAACGCGUAAAUACUGAAAGAAGACUGAGUAGGAACUAGACGUAACGCUGACAACUAUUAUCGCAAUAACAAAAAACUGAUCAAGCGCAAAAGGAAAAUUGAUUGUUUUGUUAUUCACCUAGCCUAGUUCUCUUUCAUGACGUAAGAACUUCCGUCAGCGGAAUUUCCGAAACCAACACGAGAGAGCAGAGCAGAGCAGCGGUCGCUGGCUGAUUAAAUUAUUAAAUAGGUAAUGUAGAAUAAAAAAUUUUGGAACCAAAGAGAAAAAAAAUCUCACGUAAAUUACGAAAAUUUUUAUUUCACCUGCCAUUACUGAAGAACUUGUGCAAUUUGUUUUGAGAUGGAUAGAGCAGAGGGGCAGAGUAAAUUCAUUGAAUUUAGCAACCCUGUACUAUUGGUGCAGGUUAUGUUUUCCUUCUCUUAUCAGUAAUCUGCUUUGCUUUUAUGCCAUGCCUGCCUGCCAUCACGCUUCAUACAGUGAAUAACUCUAAAUUAUUGCUCAACCUAUUCUAGAAUCUAGAUCUGCAAACUUCUCUGUCACUUCCGUCAGACCGCAACUGAUAAUACCUCCUCCUGUGAUGUACGGGCCGUCAGACAAAAAGAAAUCUUUGUUCAAUCAAGUCACGCACUUUUUCAAGAUCAUGUAUUAUGAUCCAUUCUGUUGGGGUUUGGUGAAAAGUGUGGGUGUUGCAUUUAUUGGAGUUAAGAUUGCACGGGAAUGUCGUGGAGUCGAGCUUAUGCCUGCUGUUCCAGUUCGCUAGUUAUGCUCCUCAUUGUUUUUCUAGUCUGUAUUAUAUAUGUUUCCGCCACAAAUAAACCCAACAUAGUUUUAAUCCUGACAGAUGAUCAAGAUAUUUCAAGCAUUUAUUCUAUGCCCAAAACUCAAAAACUCAUUGCAGAUGUCGGAGCUCUUUUGUUAACUCAGUAAGUAAUAAAACUCCUGUACUGUUUCUGGGAUUAUAAGGUAGGGGAAGCAUUGUAGAUGUCACAUUUCAGCCUAGACAUAUAGUAACAUCUAGAUCAUGAAUGAAACUUGACUCAGAGUGAGAGAGGU
Molecule: long non-coding RNA, 1071 nt
Filed under: Bemisia tabaci
Lineage: Eukaryota; Metazoa; Arthropoda; Insecta; Hemiptera; Aleyrodidae
Description: lncRNA ENSSSA1NGG003831
Source: RNAcentral